AUGCAAGUCGAGCGAACGGACGAGAAGCUUGCUUCUCUGAUGUUAGCGGCGGACGGGUGAGUAACACGUGGAUAACCUACCUAUAAGACUGGGAUAACUUCGGGAAACCGGAGCUAAUACCGGAUAAUAUUUUGAACCGCAUGGUUCAAAAGUGAAAGACGGUCUUGCUGUCACUUAUAGAUGGAUCCGCGCUGCAUUAGCUAGUUGGUAAGGUAACGGCUUACCAAGGCAACGAUGCAUAGCCGACCUGAGAGGGUGAUCGGCCACACUGGAACUGAGACACGGUCCAGACUCCUACGGGAGGCAGCAGUAGGGAAUCUUCCGCAAUGGGCGAAAGCCUGACGGAGCAACGCCGCGUGAGUGAUGAAGGUCUUCGGAUCGUAAAACUCUGUUAUUAGGGAAGAACAUAUGUGUAAGUAACUGUGCACAUCUUGACGGUACCUAAUCAGAAAGCCACGGCUAACUACGUGCCAGCAGCCGCGGUAAUACGUAGGUGGCAAGCGUUAUCCGGAAUUAUUGGGCGUAAAGCGCGCGUAGGCGGUUUUUUAAGUCUGAUGUGAAAGCCCACGGCUCAACCGUGGAGGGUCAUUGGAAACUGGAAAACUUGAGUGCAGAAGAGGAAAGUGGAAUUCCAUGUGUAGCGGUGAAAUGCGCAGAGAUAUGGAGGAACACCAGUGGCGAAGGCGACUUUCUGGUCUGUAACUGACGCUGAUGUGCGAAAGCGUGGGGAUCAAACAGGAUUA
Molecule: ribosomal RNA, 743 nt
Filed under: uncultured Staphylococcus sp.
Lineage: Bacteria; Bacillati; Bacillota; Bacilli; Caryophanales; Staphylococcaceae
Description: bacterial SSU rRNA
Rfam family: Bacterial small subunit ribosomal RNA
Source: RNAcentral